CGCCGUGGCCGCCUCCUCUGGGCACGCGGGCAGACCCACCCCAGCGGCCGCCACCAGCCCACCCUACGUCACGGCCGGGAACGUGGGCUCGGACCCCUACUCCCAACUCACCUCCAGGCCGGAAGCAGGAAGGCGGAAGCCGCGGCUUUCCCGUCCCGCCCACAGGCCGGCCCCAGCCCCGAGUGGGCCUGAGGAAGUCGAGGGGCCAGUUUCCGGCUGCGCCAUUGCUGUGUGGGUCCCGGGAUCUCGACUUCGAAGACUGGCGGGGACGGGGAGGGCGGGGGAGAGCGGCGCCCGGCUUCCUGGGGAGCCGCAGGUGAGGCCGCGCCCGUGUGCGGCGGCGCCCCGGCUGGCCUCUGGCGAGGAGCCCGAAACCGGCGCUUCCUGCCGGGACGAAGGGGCCAGCGUGGAGGCGCGGGUGGACUCAGGUCUCCGGGAGCCGGUCCGGAACCCUGCGGGCCCUCUGCCUUUACCCCCGAUGUAAGCCAGGAGACAGCCCCCCUGCCCUGCUGGAGCGAGACCGUUGAUGGAGGGCCCCGAUGGGUGAUGUAUGUAGCCCCUGGAAACAGACUAAAGAGCGGCGGCAAGAAAGGAGUUGGUCUCCACAAACCGCCCGAAGUCAAGGAAGAUUUUGGAUAAAUCAUUAUCAAGGAAGCUAAGGACACCUGUGUUGUACUGAAAGCACACCAGCCAUGAAAUCGGAAGGCCCAAAUUUGAAUUCCAGUUAUUCACAAAUGUAAGCAACUUCCCCUGACCUUCUCAGCUCCCAGACUGCUGGCUGUCAACCAACAUGCAGCUGGCAGAAAAAUAGAAAUCUUCUCUGGGGGAGAGAAAAGAACUAAGAUCCUGACAUCAGGAAGUCCCCAAGGAAUAGAACUAAGAUCUUGACAUUAAGAAUCUCCCAAGGAAUAGGCCCAGCUCGAUUGCCCUGUAAUGAAGACUACAGUAAACAAGCUACACAUACAUGCACAGAGUUACUAAUCUGCUUUCUGGUGGACAGCUUUUGGUUUGAGCAAACAGCCAGGGAAUACCCAAAGAACAAGGAAAACCUUUGCUGUGAGUGUGUGAAAUGUUGAGAAAAUAAGAGAAGUUGUUACAUUCAUAAAAGAAGAACAAGUUGUUAUGUUUAAAAAAAAAAUCAGAGUACAAAGAAACAAGCAUUUGGAAAUGAAGAUAGCAGAUAUGAAGGAAGUUUAGAUGAACUAAAGGAUCAAUACAGAAGAUAGAAUUUAAGAUUUAUGUCAGAAAGUACAAUAAAAAGACAAAGAUACAGAAAGUAGGAGAGAAAAAAUAAGAAAAUAAGACAACCAAUCCAAAAGUUUCAAUACCUAAAAAAUAGGGUUUCCAGAAAGAGGACACAGAGAAAAUGGAGGGCAGGAAAUUAUAGAAAGUAAUUCGAGAAAAUUUCUUAAAACUGGGCAUGCUUGCCCAGCACAGCGGUCUAAAAUAGACCCACAUUGUAUCCUAUCAUGGCAUUUCAAAUCACUGGGGAAAAAGAGAAAAUCCUACAAUCUCCAGAGGGGUGGGGAAGGGAGGUUUCAUACCAGAAUCAAGAAUCAGAAUGGCACCAGCUCCUCCAAAUAUAACAGUAGAAGCUGUAAGACAAUGGAACAGAGCCUUCAAACUUCUGGAGGGAAAUCAUUUCCAAUUUCAGUUCCAUUCCCAUCCAAAAGUGUGAGGGCAGAAUGAAGAUCUCUAAAAAUCUAUCUCCCUUGCACCCCUUCUCAGGAAGCUACAGGGGGAUAUGUUCCACCAAAACAAGGAAGUGAAGUGAGAAAGAGUAAGACCUAGGAUCCAAGAAACAGAGAAAAGGAGAGUCUGUAGGAUGGAUUGAUUGGAGACCUCAAGGUGACAGCUGUGCCUAGAAAGCAACAUGUCCAGGAUGGAACAUGUCACAAGUUUCCAGGAAGGAAUUCUUCAGGAAGUUGAAAUUGUUGGAUUACCUAAUUUGAAAAUCUCAAGAGAAAAGCUGGACACUUUGGGAAGGAUUUGGAUUAAAUUAGCAACAAGCCCAUCAAGAAGUAAGCAAAUCUAUAAAAAGACCAUUGUUAAAUUAAGAGAGAACUAAAAAGUUGUUCAGGGCUUAUUAAAAUUAAGAAUUUGUACUGAUCAAAAGCAAGUGAAAAAAAUAGAAUCUUAAGAUAUUCAUAAUAUACAUAAGUGACAAAUAAUACCAAGAAUAUAUAAUGAAUUCCUAAAAAUUAAUAAAAAGACCACAAACAACCCAAUAAAUGUAGCCAGGAAAUCUGAAGAAGUAUUUAACAGAAGAGGAAAUUACAUAUGCCCAAUAAAUGCAAAGAGAUGGUCAGCAUUCGUGGUGAGCAAGAAAAUGCAAAUAAAGAUCACAAUGAUACAGCCAUUUCGUUGGCAAAAAUUCCAAAGACUGAUAAUACCAAAUGUUGGAUAAGAUGUAGACUCAUAAAAUCUUGUAUGUGUUGCUGGUGAGAUUAAAAAAAUAAAAAUGCUUUGGCAUUACAUUCCAAAGUUGGGGGAGAAAAAAACACACUUGUGACCCAGCAAUCUUCUUUGUUUGGUGGAAAAAGAAAGUUAAAAUAUAUAUAGUAAGAGAAAUGCACAAGAAGUUUCAUCACACCACUGUUCAGCAAAAGCCUGGAAACGACCCAAAAACCUGCCUGUCGGUGAGAGAGUGGAUGACAGUUUACAGCAAUCAAAACAAAUAAAUGUAUGAAUGAAACUUUAUCCUAAGAUUUCAUAAUAAGUGAAAAAAGUAAUGGGGCACCUGGCUGGUUCAAUCAGUAGAGCAUGUGACUCUUGA
This is a long non-coding RNA of Leptonychotes weddellii (Weddell seal), 2776 nucleotides long. RefSeq lists it as uncharacterized. The record is from RefSeq and is a predicted model, not a curated record. NCBI's taxonomy places the organism in Eukaryota, Metazoa, Chordata, Mammalia, Carnivora, Phocidae.